RNAcentral lists this long non-coding RNA (1353 nucleotides) under Mus musculus (house mouse). RNAcentral describes it as "long non-coding RNA chr1:7121110-7122463". Lineage: Eukaryota; Metazoa; Chordata; Mammalia; Rodentia; Muridae. The record is from RNAcentral.
AAAAAAAAACUGGCAGACAAGAAGCUUAGAAGUAUGUAAAGUGUUCUUUCUACUGAUACAUGAUUUUUGAUUGUUUCUUAUCAAUGUCCCAUUUUAAGUGGUAAGGGAAUUGUGCCAGUCAGACAGCAAGGGACUGGGGAAAAGCAUAUUGCAACAUAUUUUGAGUCUGUUGUACUGGGCAUUGCUUCUGGUGUAAAACAGAGGAGGGAUCAAAAGGGACCAAGAUUUUUUGCCUUUGAAGAGCUUAGGGGGUUCUCAAAAUGAGUGCUAGUAUUGCAUAUGACACAUAAUCAUAUCUCCUCAUGUCCAAAUGAAAACAACCAGGCCAUAAUAACAAACUUGUAGCUUCCAGUGGCCAUGGAUUACUGGGCUCCUGAAAGGAAAGCUGGGGCUGUAUGGGAUGGAUGGCGAGAGAAAUGAAGAGCCAAGACAAAGUUUUCUGAUCAAAGCCCAGUGUUUACUUUUGAAUCUGAGCUUAUAAAAUGGGGGAACCCAUCUCCCACUGUGCCAGGAUCUCAUCAGGAGCGGAAGCAGCAGAUGUGGCCUGACAAUAGACCUUACCUAAGUUGGAAGACUCCACCCUAGGUGGGCUAGCCAGCUGUGAAAAACACAGGGUCUGAAUCAGCCUGCCCAAGGCUGGGGGGAAGGGCAUAACUCCUCCCUUUUUAUUUAUUAAAAAUUAGCUAGACCGGAGCAUAAGAUUUACUUAUGCUCCGUGGUCCUGCCUGGGAAUUAUGGUGGCUCACAGCCACGUCUGUUUUAGGACUGAAUCUAUUGGACUCUCUCUUAUCCUUCCUGGAGGUCACUUGCAGCUUGUUUGUGUUUAUUUGCACAAACACAACCUUUUAGUGUUUAUUACGAACAAACACGGCCUCUUGGCACAUGCUUCCUUCUGUCUUAGGAUGAAAAGAGCCAUAGACUAGUGGCCUGUCCUGGACUACCGGCCCUUAUAGCACACCUUUUUCCUAUUCAGACCAAAGCCACAAUAUGCACUCAAUGCAUCUCUCCAUAGCAAUGAAUAAUUGCCAUCUGAUCUUUGCUGAAGAUGGACCUGUAUAGAGGUAACUAACCUGUUUAAAAUACAAAGUCAAAAGUUAAAAGCAACAGAAUUAAAGUUGCCUGGAGGAUGUCCCAAUUUUAGUUGUAAAUUAGCAACAUCAGACCAUGGUCUGGCCUCCUGGUGUGGGGGAGGUGGCUUUGAGAACCAACAGAAAGAACUGUUACUUCUUAGGAAAUAGUGGUAAAAAGCCAGGUAAGCUGGCUGAUAGAGAUUUUUAGCUAUCUUCAUAAUUGAAAUCUCCAAUAUUGGAUUUAUUUCUAGACCAGUCUAUGAUUGAGUCGGAAUAACUGGUC